Molecule: non-coding RNA, 54 nt
Organism: Solanum tuberosum (potato)
Lineage: Eukaryota; Viridiplantae; Streptophyta; Magnoliopsida; Solanales; Solanaceae
Source: Rfam
GUGAGGUGGAAUCAGCGUUUGGACCUGCGAUUUUACGCUGAUUUCAUCUCAUGA